This 459-nucleotide ribosomal RNA is filed under the name uncultured bacterium. RNAcentral's name for it is "partial 16S ribosomal RNA". It matches the Rfam family "Bacterial small subunit ribosomal RNA", at positions 338 to 795 of the family's 1533-position model. The record is from RNAcentral.
CCUACGGGUGGCAGCAGUGAGGAAUAUUGGUCAAUGGCCGAGAGGCUGAACCAGCCAAGUCGCGUGAGGGAAGACGGCCCUACGGGUUGUAACCCUCUUUUGUCGGGGAGCAAAGCGAGUCACGUGUGAUUGAUUGAGAGUACCCGAAGAAAAAGCAUCGGCUAACUCCGUGCCAGCAGCCGCGGUAAUACGGAGGAUGCGAGGGUUAUCCGGAUUUUUUGGGUUUAAAGGGUGCGCAGGCGGAGGUGCAAGUCAGCGGUCAAAUUGCGGGGCUCAACCCCGUACUGCCGUUGAAACUGCAUCCCUUGAGUGCGCGAGAAGUAUGCGGAAUGCGGGGUGUAGCGGUGAAAUGCAUAGAUAUCACGCAGAACUCCGAUUGCGAAGGCAGCAUACCGGCGCGCAACUGACGCUCAUGCACGAAAGCGUGGGUAGCGAACAGGAUUAGAUACCCCUGUAGUC